UACGUAGGGGGCGAGCGUUGUCCGGAUUUAUUGGGCGUAAAGAGCUCGUAGGCGGCUUGGCAAGUCGGGUGUGAAAACUCCAGGCUCAACCUGGAGAUGCCACUCGAGACUGCUAUGGCUAGAGUCCGGUAGGGGACCACGGAAUUCCUGGUGUAGCGGUGAAAUGCGCAGAUAUCAGGAGGAACACCAAUGGCGAAGGCAGCUCACUGGGACGGUAUUGACGCUGAGACGCGAAAGCGUGGGGAGCAAACAGG
RNAcentral lists this ribosomal RNA (254 nucleotides) under uncultured bacterium. Its description in RNAcentral is "partial 16S ribosomal RNA". It matches the Rfam family "Bacterial small subunit ribosomal RNA", at positions 524 to 776 of the family's 1533-position model. The record is from RNAcentral.